RNAcentral lists this ribosomal RNA (465 nucleotides) under Promyrmekiaphila sp. BRCC. RNAcentral's name for it is "partial 16S ribosomal RNA". It matches the Rfam family "Bacterial large subunit ribosomal RNA", at positions 1796 to 2612 of the family's 2925-position model. Lineage: Eukaryota; Metazoa; Arthropoda; Arachnida; Araneae; Euctenizidae. The record is from RNAcentral.
UCGCCUGUUUAUCAAAAACAUCUCUAAAUGAUUUUUUAUUUUUAGUAAGACCUGCUCAAUGACCUUUUUAAAUUGCCGCAUUCAAUGUGCUAAGGUAGCAUAAUCAUUUGCCUUUUAAUUGUAGGCUAGUAUGAACGGUUAUUCAUGCGGAUUCCUUUAUUAACUUUAUUUCUUCAAUUUUUCUUAUAAGUUAAAAGACUUAUAUUAAUAAGAGGGACGACAAGACCCUAUCGAGCUUUACUUAUUGUUGAACUGGGGCGGUAAAAAACUAAAUCUUUCUUAUUUUCUUUCAAACACUCUUUUUAUAAAUUUACAAGUUACCGUAGGGAUAACAGCAUAAUUUUCUUUUAAAGUUCUUAUUGAAAAGAAAGUUUAUGACCUCGAUGUUGAAUUAUUAAUCUUUUUGAAGCAAAAUUUAAAAAAGAAAGUCUGUUCGACUUUUAAAACUUUACGUGAUCUGAGUUC